This 1133-nucleotide ribosomal RNA is filed under the name Vibrio campbellii. Its description in RNAcentral is "bacterial SSU rRNA". It matches the Rfam family "Bacterial small subunit ribosomal RNA", at positions 396 to 1511 of the family's 1533-position model. The record is from RNAcentral. Lineage: Bacteria; Pseudomonadati; Pseudomonadota; Gammaproteobacteria; Vibrionales; Vibrionaceae.
GCCGCGUGUGUGAAGAAGGCCUUCGGGUUGUAAAGCACUUUCAGUCGUGAGGAAGGUAGUGUAGUUAAUAGCUGCAUUAUUUGACGUUAGCGACAGAAGAAGCACCGGCUAACUCCGUGCCAGCAGCCGCGGUAAUACGGAGGGUGCGAGCGUUAAUCGGAAUUACUGGGCGUAAAGCGCAUGCAGGUGGUUUGUUAAGUCAGAUGUGAAAGCCCGGGGCUCAACCUCGGAAUUGCAUUUGAAACUGGCAGACUAGAGUACUGUAGAGGGGGGUAGAAUUUCAGGUGUAGCGGUGAAAUGCGUAGAGAUCUGAAGGAAUACCGGUGGCGAAGGCGGCCCCCUGGACAGAUACUGACACUCAGAUGCGAAAGCGUGGGGAGCAAACAGGAUUAGAUACCCUGGUAGUCCACGCCGUAAACGAUGUCUACUUGGAGGUUGUGGCCUUGAGCCGUGGCUUUCGGAGCUAACCCGUUAAGUAGACCGCCUGGGGAGUACGGUCGCAAGAUUAAAACUCAAAUGAAUUGACGGGGGCCCGCACAAGCGGUGGAGCAUGUGGUUUAAUUCGAUGCAACGCGAAGAACCUUACCUACUCUUGACAUCCAGAGAACUUUCCAGAGAUGGAUUGGUGCCUUCGGGAACUCUGAGACAGGUGCUGCAUGGCUGUCGUCAGCUCGUGUUGUGAAAUGUUGGGUUAAGUCCCGCAACGAGCGCAACCCUUAUCCUUGUUUGCCAGCGAGUAAUGUCGGGAACUCCAGGGAGACUGCCGGUGAUAAACCCGGAGGAAGGUGGGGACGACGUCAGUCAUCAUGGCCCUUUACGAGUAGGGCUACACACGUGCUACAAUGGCGCAUACAGAGGGCAGCCAACUUGGCGAGAGUGAGCGGAAUCCCAAAAAGUGCCGUCGUAGUCCCGGAUCGAGUCUGCAACUCGACCUCCGUGAAGUCGGAAUCGCUAGUAAUCGUGGAUCAGAUUGCCACCGUGAAUACGUUCCCGGGACCUUGUAACCACCCGCCGGUCACACCAUGGGAGUGGGCCUGCCAAGAAAGUUAGUAGUUUUACCUUCAGAGACGCUAACCACUUUGGUGAUCCUAUGAACUGAGGGGAAGUGUCGUAAACGAUGGUAGAACCGGAAA